Molecule: long non-coding RNA, 6041 nt
Filed under: Sus scrofa (pig)
Lineage: Eukaryota; Metazoa; Chordata; Mammalia; Artiodactyla; Suidae
Description: lncRNA (ENSSSCG00005024467.1)
Source: RNAcentral
CAGAAAAUUAAAUUUCCAGAGACUUGGUGAAGAUAGGAAAACUAUCAGAAAGACUAUAGCACUAUUGUACUUUGUUUGGGGGAAAAUAUGUUAGGCAAAGAUAUUAUAUGUAAAAUAUAGAGGAGAAUAUAUUAUAAUCAUGUUAAUAAUUUAUAAGAACUAAUCCUAUGCAGUUUUUAAAAAAUUGAAAAUGUGUUCUUAUAUACUGAGAUGAGAAUUUUACCAAUAGCAUUGAAAAAUAUUUCUAAUUCUAACAAGGAUUGGUCUAGUUUAUGUACAUUUGCUUAUUUAAAACUAUCAGAAUCCAGAAAAUCAUUGUAGUUUUGUAGGUUUGUGAUUUGUUUGGGUGACUUAUUGUUUAGGUUAUUUUGCAGAAUUAUUUAUUUGCUGAUUUAUUUAUGUAUUUCAUUAUUUAUUUAUUUGAUUAUUUAGUAAAUUAUUUAUCUGAUGAAUUAUUAAUACAUCUUCAUGACAUGCUUUAAAUUAUUUAUAACUUAAUUUUGAGUUUAUUGCUUUUAGACGCUGCAUUGUUACUGACUAGUUUUGAUUUUUUUUUCUUUGUGGUUCUUUAAAAUUAAAGUAUUAGCUCUAAGGCAAAGUAUAUUCAUUACUAUGCCCAGCGAUUUUUUUUUUUUUAGGUAAUUUAUGAUAGUGAUAAAAUUUCAGUUAUGUUUUGUUUAGCUCUAAUUUUACCUGUUUAGGGUUACUGGUGAUAGAAUAUGUGUGUUGUAUGCAUACUUACAAAUUAAUGAUGUAGCCUGUAGUGUGUAAACUGAGAUUGAACAUGUAAACCUCAGUCCACAUUAUCCUUGGUGUCUCUAAAGGGCAGCUCUGUAUUUCUUACUUGCUUUAGAAUAGAUAAUGGAGUCUUAUUCUAUUUUAGCGGCAAAGCUAUGUUACUACUGGAAUAUUUUUAGGAAAGUUUAGAGAAAUGAAGUCUAACUUAAAUGUGGAUCUCUGAGAUGUAAAUUUACCUGAUGUAACCUUUGUUUUUUUUUAAAUCCUCAUCAUAUGUGCAUUUGGAAAACAGCAUGAUGUUUAUGUGGAUUUUUAUAUCAGUCUUAGUGACAGAUUUAUUUGAUACCAUAUCUCUUAUGGAAAUUUUCAUAUGAGCUAAAAAUGGACAAAGGUCUUUAUAAAAGCAAGCUAUAGUUUCUCUGACUUUAAUAAUUCUCUUAUGUAGAGUUUCCAUAUUUAAUCAAAUAAGGUGUUUCUUCUUAGUUCUGACUCUUUCAUAAGGUAGCACAAGUUAUUAGGGCUCUCUCUUUGAAAGGGUUUAAUGAAUAUGUUAAAGUAGUUGUUUGGGUAAAAGAGCAUCAUGUGCACAAAUAGUCCUUAUCAUGUGUUUGCUUAGUGAAUUACUAUGUACUUUAGAGUUUUAGCAUUUCAAAGAAAAGCAGUAUUGUAAAUUUCAAGUCAGGUUGCUAUUGAAAUAUAGUGAAAAUGACCUCUGUAGACAGGUUUCACUAUAGAAUUGUAGAUUAUGCAUAUGUAAACCCAAGUUUAUUAUUUUGAAGUAUUGAACAUAUCAAUGUUUAAUUGGAAUAUUGCUUUGAUAUCUUCAUAUGCUUGCCUUAAAAGAAGCAGUUUUAUGUGGUUUGUAUACAUGGAUUUAAAAAUGUAUGUAUUGUAUAUAUUUGUGACUCUUCUGCUCUGGAGGUGAAUAGCCAAGAUAUUGUUAGAUAUAGAAUUCUGUUUUAAAAAGUACUUUAGGAUGUACAUGUGGACUUCUCUCGCAGAACAAAAGCUACCUUCUCCAGUGUUGAAUAAGAUCUAAUAUACUAGUUAUAUAAUAUACUCAACCCACAUUGUUAACAUGUUUCUUUGGAGUCCUAGCUGUGUCAUCCAAGUGAUCUUAACUGCAAGGUACACAUGUGUGCACUCACGCAUACACAUGUGUGAAAUUGUCACCUGAAUAGGACUUGUCUUUGGAUGGAGACAUUGAUAGAGAUUGUCAUAAUAACAGUUAGCAUUUACUGAGUACUUACUACGUGCAGGCACAGUGCUUGUAUCUGUUACGUGGAUUAUUUGUUCCUCUUCACAGUGAAUAAGUACAGUUAUUUUCAUUCUAAGAGUGAGGAAACAGAGACUUAGAGAUGUUAAGUAACUUGCUCAUUGCCAUUCAGGUGGCAGUAGAUGAUAACGCUGGGAUUGGAACUCUCCUAGUCUGAUUCCCAAGGGUUUUAACCCGUCACAGUUUUGUAUGUGUAGUUGGUACAAUGUAGUUGUUACCCGAGUUGAUUUUGUUUGUUUUUAGAGACUGUAUUUAUUUACAUCUCUGAUAAGUUUAACUUGCUAAGUAUACUCACUUUGUGUUACCUUUGGUCAUCUUUUUGAAACAGUAGGUGGUAUGAAUUUUCUGACUUGGUUCUUCUUAUUAUCCUGUGUAGUGGAUCUAAAUUAAAUACACAAGAAUUUGUGCCUCGGGGAGAUUGAAUUGUUCCUGGUGGAGGUCUAACACUCACUCAGAUCACUUGUUUUGACUCUUAAGCCCAAGGCCGCUUCCAGGGCCCUGUUAGGUCCAAUUUUGGUGAUGAGUGCCCUAGGUAACUGCAUUUGUAUGAAUGUUGGGGUACUGUGUGAAUCACUUGGUUUUAAGUUAGAUUUUUCAAGUAAAUAAUUAAUGUUACAUCACAGAAUGCUCAAAACCCAUGGCUUAGGUAAUAUGAAAUACUGAAAUAGCUAGAAUGACUGUAUAAUUUAUCUUCCAGUUCAGGAUAGUUUAAGAGUGGAGGAGUGCACUAUAAUAUGCCAGGACAAUAGGUGUAAACUGAUACCAUCCUGGGCAAAUUGAGUCAUGUGGUCACCCUAGUAAUAUUUCAAAGUCCUAUUGAGUAGGUCCUAAUAAUGUAUAUCAUGUGUGUUUAAGAGGAAUUUUAAUUCACAUGCAAUAUCUUUUAAAAUACUUUAUGAUAAAACAAAUCCGUUAUGGUUGGUGUUUAUGUAUUUUUAUUAACCAACAAAAGCAGUUUGUGGCUAUGACUUUCAUAAAGUGUGACUGCUGUUUUAUAACUUUUGGAACCUAUUUUCAAGGUGAAAGUAAAGAGCUAUCACGAUUGGGAACAUAAAGAUGAGUAUGGUAAAACUGGUCAUGGUACAGUAGAUCUGUUUUUCUUCGUAUCAUACAUGAUAGGAUGUUUUUACACUUGUUUUGCUUUGUAAAUCUCCUAAUUAAUGGCAUAUAUGACGUACUGAAAACUAAUUGUAUUUGUUAUACCUUCAGAAUGUAUAAUUUUGUUAGAUGAUCCAGAAGUCUUUCUUUCCCCUUAAAAAUCAUGUUACACAUCAUUUAUAUUGAUAAGUUGGCAGUUUUUAUGAAAACCUUUUUGAAAACACUGUUUUUCCUUGGUGAAAUUAUGUGUGGGGAAAAUAGGCAUUCAGAUUUUUUUGUAUGCUUUCUAAUUCCCUUUUGACAUGUAUUAAAGUCAUAAAUAGAAAUUAAAUUUUAAAUGUCCAGUUUUUUUUCCAUUUGGAGUAUAGAUGAUUUUUUAAGUUGAACUUGGUAACCACAGUGGCAUAUUUGUAUUUGAAUGUAUUUUAAAAUGAAAAAUUCUUAUUCAAUAGUUUAUUCACACCUAUGUGUAAUAUCAGAAGUCUCUUUGUUCGGAAAGGCCUAUUAUGCCUUGUAACAAAGGUAAGAGCUUUAAUAUAUUCUGUCUUGAGUUUGUCACACUCUGAAGCACUUUGUGAAAUACUACUAUAGUUGUAAAAGUAAUAACAUAGCUUGUGUGUUGGCUCUGAGAGUAGCUCCUUUAUAAUUAUGACAAGUGAAAGUACAGCCAAAGGUCAUGUUAAACACAAAAUUUCUUUCACACCUCAUCUGUUCUGUGGCUGGCAUGUGAAGUAGUUUGGGUCCUGCACUGACAUUUUAAGAUAGCUACCCAAAGGUGUUCCCGUGGAAGUGUUUGAAAUACCUUGCCCUUACCUCCCUACCUCCCUUGUGGUUGCAAAAUUUGGCAUGGAUGUGUAUUUGAAUCCUCCACUAAUUAAACAGAACCUUAUUAACUUAAGAGAUUGCAGAGGAAAAUAGGGGACUCUCAUUCUACAGGGAUUUCUUAGAGCACUAGGUAAUACUGACAUGUAUUCUGUCCUGUCUUUAAUAUUACUGAGUCCUGUGCUGACUAAUGCAGUGUCUUAAUAUUGAUCACCUUAGUAUUGAUGUUGCUUAAUGAAAUACUACAAACCAAACAACAUACCAGUAACCACAAAAACAAAAUAAAAUCACAUAAGUUAAAUUGUGAAAUGAAAGCAUGGUAUGCCUAUACGUGUGCCAUCUAUUGAUUAGGUCCAAUAUGGCUAAGUAAAAGUUGGAGUAUUGAAAAGGUCACAUAUAGGAAAGCUUUUUAUUAAAAACUUAUAUAGAGAGACUGUACAUGUGUUGUAUAGUGGCUAACAAAUCUCUUUAAGCUUCUAUACACAGUGUCAAAAAAUACAGGCUGAAGAAAGAAUGUUUGGAAGAGGAUUAAAUCAUCAUGUUAGAAUUUUUAGUAUAGUGUUUCUUUCUGUUUUGAAACACUUUUUUUUAUACUGUUCCCUACCAUACCAUGCUUCAUGCUGUAAGACUUUUAGAAUCUGAAUUAUAAACAAGGGUGAUACAGCUCAUUAAGGGGAAUUUUGGAAAUUAGGAGGGGUGUUGUCACUUGUUAUGAUAAUGGUGGGAAGGUUUUGGCAUUUAAUGGAUGGGGAGCAGGGAUGCUAGGUAUCUUACAAUGCAUGGGACAGAUUUAGGCUGCAAGAAAUUGUUCUGAGUGUCCCAUAACUUUUGAAUGUUUGCUUAUUUAAACUCCUCAAAGAUAAAGCAGUAAUACUUCAGUAUAGAAUAAUAAUGACAAUUUUUUUGUAAAGUGUUAAAUGAAUCUGAUAGUUUAGGGAAAGUUUGUGUGGAGGGGAAGCUUACAUAGAAUAAAGAAAUUCUCUCAAAAUUAUAUGUACUUCUCAUGUUCUUUCUACUUCCUGAUUUAUAAUUUCUAACUAAAUAUUUAGUGGAAAACUUUUCAUUUCAGUAAUUUCAUUUCAUUCCAGUUUACUGGAAGCUUUGUUAUACUGAUUGCAGAUCUGUAACAGAGGCUGUUUAAGACUCUUUCAACAACAAACUAAAUUUUAAGUUGAUGGAUCUAAAUUAAAUUGAAUUUUAUUAGUUAAUAAGGAUUGUUUAAAGAUAUUUUAUGAUUGCCAUCCUAAAUAUUAGUUUCAUUUUUAGAACGAUAGUAAAUAUAAUGUUCAUUUUUAAAAAUUAUUUCUUUUUAUGUUAGUUUUCACUAUUACUCUGGUAGCAUUUUCAGUAAUCUAUUAGACACCUUCUCUGUAACUUUUUAUAUUUCUUUACCCACCACAUUGGCUCUUUUAUAUUUUGGGAGGAUAUAGUCUUUUUGUAGUAUUUUUAGCUACUGGAGACUUAAUGCUUUGACCAUGUGGUAGGUUUUCUGGGAUAACCACCCUGUAACAACCUUAGCAUAGAUAAUUAUUUUGACAGUACACUUAGUACAACUGACCUGGGUUUUAUUUCUAAUAACCACAUUCUAUAAUAUUCUCCAUUUCAACAGUAUGUAAUUUGUCUUGACAUUUUAGUCUUUAUUUCAUUUAAGCUUAUUCCUAUCUUUAUCUUCACAUUCAAUUUAAUUUUUGUCUGUAACUACUUAUCUCAGUAAUAGUUUUUAUUCUAGAAUUCUCCUAUGCCUCUCCUCUUUCAUUUUUUUGGUAUUCUUAUAGAAAAUGACUUGUGAUCUUUUUCUCCUUUCACCCAAACUUAUUUAUUACACAUAGAUGCAAAUGUAUGACUAUUGUAUUCACUCUUCUUAAGUAUUUAUGCCUAAGCAUUAACAUAAUGAAAUAAGUAUUUUGUUAUAAAUUAGUUUUAUUUUUUAUUAACAUUAUAGUUAGGGAAUUAAUAUUGGUAUUAAAAAAACCAUGUGUAGGUAGAUUUUAUUAUCCCUGAAUUUCAUUUCAGGAUAGUACAGGGAAUGAAGGGAACAUUGGAUCUCUGGGAUUGAGAACCACUCUUUAAGAAAUGAGCACUUAUUCUGCAGAGCUCUUCUGGCUCU